CUACGGGAGGCAGCAGUGAGGAAUAUUGCACAAUGGACGAAAGUCUGAUGCAGCGACGCCGCGUGGGCGAAGAAGGUUUUCGGAUCGUAAAGCCCUUUUCUAGGUGACGAGAAAGGACGGUAGCCUAGGAAUAAGUGUCGGCUAACUACGUGCCAGCAGCCGCGGUAAAACGUAGGACGCAAACGUUAUCCGGAGUUACUGGGCGUAAAGCGCGAGCAGGCGGUUGAAUAAGUUACCUAUGAAAGCUCUCGGCUAAACUGGGAGAGGUUAGGUGAUACUGUUUGACUAGAGUGAGGUAGAGGCAAGUAGAAUUCCAGGUGUAGUGGUGAAAUGCGUAGAUAUCUGGAGGAAUACCAGUGGCGAAGGCGGCUUGCUGGGCCUCAACUGACGCUGAGACGCGAAAGCGUGGGUAGCGAACGGGAUUAGAUACCCUAGUAGUCC
This 441-nucleotide ribosomal RNA is filed under the name uncultured bacterium. Its description in RNAcentral is "bacterial SSU rRNA". It matches the Rfam family "Bacterial small subunit ribosomal RNA", at positions 339 to 796 of the family's 1533-position model. The record is from RNAcentral.